RNAcentral lists this ribosomal RNA (468 nucleotides) under uncultured bacterium. RNAcentral's name for it is "partial 16S ribosomal RNA". It matches the Rfam family "Bacterial small subunit ribosomal RNA", at positions 28 to 507 of the family's 1533-position model. The record is from RNAcentral.
GACGAACGCUGGCGGCGUGCUUAACACAUGCAAGUCGAACGGAAAGGCCCUGCUUUUGUGGGGUGCUCGAGUGGCGAACGGGUGAGUAACACGUGAGUAACCUGCCCUUGACUUUGGGAUAACUUCAGGAAACUGGGGCUAAUACCGGAUAGGAGCUCCUGCUGCAUGGUGGGGGUUGGAAAGUUUCGGCGGUUGGGGAUGGACUCGCGGCUUAUCAGCUUGUUGGUGGGGUAGUGGCUUACCAAGGCUUUGACGGGUAGCCGGCCUGAGAGGGUGACCGGCCACAUUGGGACUGAGAUACGGCCCAGACUCCUACGGGAGGCAGAAGUGGGGAAUAUUGCACAAUGGGCGGAAGCCUGAAGCAGCAACGCCGCGUGCGGGAUGACGGCCUUCGGGUUGUAAACCGCUUUCGCCUGUGACGAAGCGUGAGUGACGGUAAUGGGUAAAGAAGCACCGGCUAACUACGUG